ACAAGUUCCAAGAUGAUGUUCAUGCUAUUGGUCCAGGGACCACACUUUGAAAACCACUGCCCUGGAACAUAAAAGGGAAACAAAUGGAAGAACCUGGACUUAAUGGCUGAGUGGAGCAGAGCUGCCCCCAAACUGGAACUGCUGCUUUUGGACAUCAAAAGUUCCAGCCAUUCAGAAGGUGAGCAGAGGCCCUAACACUGCAAAGAACGCAUCUCCUGCUGGCGAUUUCUCCAGUCUGCUGUCCAUUUCUGAGAAUGUUCUGUAAGGGUUCCUUGGAAGAAGAUACUUUCUGUGGGACAACUGCUGAAGAAACGACAGACAUGAAGGCAUACUUGACACCAACACAGGGAUACCCAUCCGUCACCUUUGAUCUCCUCUCCCACAUGCCACUGAGAAAUAGUUUUUAAAAAUAGAAGCAAAAUGACAAACUAGACAAUUUGAGACUUAAAUAAAAAUAGCUUUAGGC
Molecule: long non-coding RNA, 466 nt
Filed under: Piliocolobus tephrosceles (Ugandan red Colobus)
Lineage: Eukaryota; Metazoa; Chordata; Mammalia; Primates; Cercopithecidae
Description: lncRNA (ENSPTEG00000036210.1)
Source: RNAcentral